AUUAUCUGCGGCCUCGUACCCACGCCCGAAUCACAGCCGUGCUGAUUGCACUCCCUUUCUUGUGAUAUUGCUUAACGGACGUUCAUCACAUUAUCUAGCUACAUAAGGGAGGCCUAUAAUUAAAAAGUCAAAGACGGUCCAAAUCUUUGAGUCAUUUAACAACACCAUGAAUGAAGAUGGAAUGGAUGACACAUAUCCAGGCAUGGAUCAUAUAUCAACCGCAGUAUUAAAAUGCCAGAGCACUUCUUCAGAAGGAGAACCAUUUGGAGAUUUACUCAUGGUGAAAAUGAGGUAAUGUUAGAUUUUGACAUUUGGGAGACAUUUAAUCUAACCAUGCAGACAGUGUUUCCUGUUAUCAAAGUAGCAUUUCCGGGCCAUCAUUACAAUACAUCUAUCUAAAGAUGUAGUUGUUUUGGUGUUUGCUCUUAUGUUGUUGUUACAGUGUGGUGUUCUUUUUUCAUUAUAAUUACCAUUGAAUAAAUGUAUGUCUUAUAAAGGGUCAAGAAUCAGACCUGUGAAGACCAGGCACCUCCUCUGGGACCUUUCUUCAGGCGAGACCACUCUUCAGCCCUGUCGUGAUUGUCUGCGAACCCAACUGCGUACUGGCCAUUGGAACCAUGCCUGUGGUGACCUUCCCAAAAGAGGACAUCUAUGCCAGCGUGACGUAUCUCAUGGAGUGUUAUUACACCUUUACCUCACAUAUCCCAAGUACAUUGUGACACUCCUCUCUGUGUUGCAGACAGAAGUCCUCUCGGACGCCAUCCACGACCAGGACAUGACUUCUUCAUAUAAAAAGGCUAUGGCCGAGUGGAAAAAGUUCAUUACUGACUAGGGUUGCACAAUACCAUUUUUUCAUUUCCAGUCCCGAUAACAAAACUGUGUAUUGGCCCAUCCGAGAACUGAUCCUAUAACCUUUAAUAAAUAGACAGGGCGUUUGUUGUUUAUUAUAAGAAGGUUUAAAGCACUGUUAUGAAUGUUAUCUUCCCAUUGGUCUUACAUUUUCACCUUGACCACCAAUGGCCUUUGUUGUUUUUGCAUCCAGUUCUGCCCAUAUCAGCCUCUGGAUAUACUGAGUCUUCAAUAAAGAAGUGAAAAGAAAUGAGAUUCAUCACAUUUACAUCUUAGUCAUUUAGCAGAAGCUCUUAUUCAGAGCGACUUACAGUAGUGAAUGCAUACAAUUCAUACAUUUUUUUUUUUCUUCCUUCCCUGUGUUGGUCCCCCAUGGGAAUUGAACCCACAACCCUGGUGUUGCAAACACCAUGCUCUACCAACUGAGCCACUCUUUCAUUCUUUCUUUAAGCUGGCCAAUCUCAUUUCUAAUAGUAGUACAAGUACAUUUAUCUUAGUCAAGAUUACUUAUUUUAAGCAAAAUGUUUCUGUAAAUUCCUGGGAAUAUUGCCUUAUUUCAAGACGAUUGCAAUAGCAUUGGAUUCUAAAUUUAAGCACAUUUUCCUACAGAUUUAGAAAAUAAUUCUUAAAUCUUUUAUUUGCAUACAGAC
Molecule: long non-coding RNA, 1499 nt
Filed under: Salmo salar (Atlantic salmon)
Lineage: Eukaryota; Metazoa; Chordata; Actinopteri; Salmoniformes; Salmonidae
Description: lncRNA (ENSSSAG00000110453.1)
Source: RNAcentral